RNAcentral lists this ribosomal RNA (459 nucleotides) under uncultured bacterium. Its description in RNAcentral is "partial 16S ribosomal RNA". It matches the Rfam family "Bacterial small subunit ribosomal RNA", at positions 338 to 795 of the family's 1533-position model. The record is from RNAcentral.
CCUACGGGUGGCAGCAGUGAGGAAUAUUGGUCAAUGGUCGGGAGACUGAACCAGCCAAGCCGCGUGAGGGAGGAAGGUACAGAGUAUCGUAAACCUCUUUUGUCAGGGAACAAAGGCGGGGACGUGUCCCCGGAUGAGUGUACCUGAAGAAAAAGCAUCGGCUAACUCCGUGCCAGCAGCCGCGGUAAUACGGAGGAUGCGCGCGUUAUCCGGAUUUAUGGGGUUUAAAGGGUGCGCAGGCGGUCUGUUAAGUCAGCGGUCAAAGCCCGGGGCUCAACCCCGGCCCGCCGUUGAAACUGGCAGUCUCGAGUUGGAGAGAAGUAUGCGGAAUGCGCGGUGUAGCGGUGAAAUGCAUAGAUAUCGCGCAGAACUCCGAUUGCGAAGGCAGCAUGCCGGCUCCACACUGACGCUGAGGCACGAAAGCGUGGGUAUCGAACAGGAGUAGAUACCCUAGUAGUC